This 336-nucleotide RNase P RNA is filed under the name human gut metagenome. Its description in RNAcentral is "Bacterial RNase P class B". It matches the Rfam family "Bacterial RNase P class B". Rfam says of the family: Ribonuclease P (RNase P) is a ubiquitous endoribonuclease, found in archaea, bacteria and eukarya as well as chloroplasts and mitochondria. The record is from RNAcentral.
UCUUGGGCAAAUGCUGCAUAUAUUGUAAUGUAGAGGAAAGUCCAUGCUCACACAGUCUGUGAUUGAUUGUAGUGUUCGUGCCUAGGGAAAAAAUAACCUAGGGUAGCUUAUGCUAACGGCGUUGAGGAAACCUGUCAAAUGGUUUUAGUAAACAUAAAGUGCCAUAGAGACGAGUCAACUUGGAAACGAGUUGAGUGGAACGCGGUAAACCCCACGAGUGAGAAACCCAAAUUAUGGUAGGGGAGUUCUAUUUCGGGAAUCAAACUGAAAUAGGGCCUGCUUGCAGGAGAUAAAUAUUUGCCACUUUCAAUUGAGAGUACAGAACAUGGCUUAUAA